GACGAACGCUGGCGGCGUGCUUAACACAUGCAAGUCGAACGGAAAGGCCCUGCUUGCAGGGUACUCGAGUGGCGAACGGGUGAGUAACACGUGGGUGAUCUGCCCUUCACUUCGGGAUAAGCCUGGGAAACUGGGUCUAAUACCGGAUAGGAGCCAUUUUUAGUGUGAUGGUUGGAAAGUUUUUUCGGUGUAGGAUGAGCUCGCGGCCUAGCAGCUUGUUGGUGGGGUAAUGGCCUACCAAGGCGGCGACGGGUAGCCGGCCUGAGAGGGUGGACGGCCACAUUGGGACUGAGAUACGGCCCAGACUCCGACGGGAGGCAGCAGUGGGGAAUGUUGCAAAAGGGGCGCAAGCCUGAUGCAGCGGCGCCGCGUGGGGGAGGACGGCCUUCGGGUUGUGAACUCCUUUCGCUAGGGACGAAGCAUUUUGUGACGGUACCUAGAUAAGAAGCACCGGCUAACUACGUG
This 465-nucleotide ribosomal RNA is filed under the name uncultured bacterium. Its description in RNAcentral is "partial 16S ribosomal RNA". It matches the Rfam family "Bacterial small subunit ribosomal RNA", at positions 28 to 507 of the family's 1533-position model. The record is from RNAcentral.